This is a non-coding RNA of Corylus avellana, 187 nucleotides long. Lineage: Eukaryota; Viridiplantae; Streptophyta; Magnoliopsida; Fagales; Betulaceae. The record is from RefSeq and is a predicted model, not a curated record.
AUACCUUUCUCGGCCUUAUGGCUAAGAUCAAGUGUAGUAUCUGUUCUCCUCAGCUUAAUGUCUGAUACGUGGGUCAACGACCCACAUGAUAUUAAAUUAAUUUUUUUUCAGUGGGAUGGUCCACCGCAGUACCUUGCUACAGGGAUCCUCAGGCGUUGCACUAUAGCAAGGGCCAGGCGCUCCCCUC